GGAGGAAAAGAAACUAACUAGGAUUCCCUUAGUAACGGCGAGUGAACCGGGAUGAGCUCAAAUUUGAAAUCUGGCGUCUUUCAGGCGUCCGAGUUGUAAUCUAUAGAGGCGUUUUCCGCGCCGGACCGCGUCCAAGUCUCUUGGAAUAGAGUAUCAAAGAGGGUGACAAUCCCGUACUUGACGCGACAACCGGUGCUCUGUGAUACGUUCUCAAUGAGUCGAGUUGUUUGGGAAUGCAGCUCUAAAUGGGUGGUAAAUUCCAUCUAAGGCUAAAUAUUGGCGAGAGACCGAUAGCGAACAAGUACCGUGAGGGAAAGAUGAAAAGCACUUUGGAAAGAGAGUUAAACAGCACGUGAAAUUGUUAAAAGGGAAACGAUUGAAGUCAGUCGUGUGGGAAGUAUUCAGCCGUCUCUGGCGGUGUAUUUGCUUCUCACGGGUCAACAUCAGUUUGAUCCGGUAGAAAAAGGCGGGAAGAAGGUGGCACCCUCGGGUGUGUUAUAGCUUCCUGUCAUAUGUGCCGGACCAGACUGAGGAACGCAGCUUGCAGCAAUGCCGGGGUUCGCCCACGUACAAGCUUAGGAUGUUGACAUAAUGGCUUUAAACGACCCGUC
RNAcentral lists this ribosomal RNA (611 nucleotides) under Vishniacozyma carnescens. RNAcentral's name for it is "LSU rRNA". It matches the Rfam family "Eukaryotic large subunit ribosomal RNA", at positions 52 to 653 of the family's 3401-position model. The record is from RNAcentral. Lineage: Eukaryota; Fungi; Basidiomycota; Tremellomycetes; Tremellales; Bulleribasidiaceae.